GAUGAACGCUGGCGGCGUGCCUAAUACAUGCAAGUCGAGCGAACAGAUGAGAAGCUUGCUUCUCUGAUGUUAGCGGCGGACGGGUGAGUAACACGUGGGUAACCUACCUAUAAGACUGGGAUAACUCCGGGAAACCGGGGCUAAUACCGGAUAAUAUUUUGAACCGCAUGGUUCAAUAGUGAAAGACGGUUUCGGCUGUCACUUACAGAUGGACACGCGCCGUAUUAGCUAGUUGGUAAGGUAACGGCUUACCAAGGCGACGAUACGUAGCCUACAUGAGAGGGUGAUCGGCCACACUGGAACUGAGACACGGUCCAGACUCCUACGGGAGGCAGCAGUAGGGAAUCUUCCGAAAUGGGCGAAAGCCUGACGGAGCAACGCCGCGAGAGUGAUGAGGGUCUUCGGAUCGUAAAACUCUGUUGUUAGGGAAGAACAAAUUUGUUAGUAACUGAACAAAUCUUGACGGUACCUAACCAGAAAGCCACGGCUAACUACGUGCCAGCCGCCGCAGUAA
Molecule: ribosomal RNA, 514 nt
Filed under: uncultured bacterium
Lineage: Bacteria
Description: partial 16S ribosomal RNA
Rfam family: Bacterial small subunit ribosomal RNA
Source: RNAcentral